ACGAAUGUCGAGUCGGCCGACCGUGCUGGCGGAAACGCACGUGCACGUCGGUCGCAACACAUCCACACACCUGUGAACGUAUGGCCUUGGGUUUUCGGACCCGGGGCAAACCUUUUUUACCCACUCUGAUCGUAAAGGAAUGUCCACUUGCGAACUCGCAAAAGCUAA
RNAcentral lists this unclassified non-coding RNA (168 nucleotides) under uncultured Sebacinales. Its description in RNAcentral is "sequence contains ITS1". Lineage: Eukaryota; Fungi; Basidiomycota; Agaricomycetes; Sebacinales. The record is from RNAcentral.